AUACGGGAGGCAGCAGUGAGGAAUAUUGGUCAAUGGGCGGAAGCCUGAACCAGCCAUGCCGCGUGCAGGAAGACGGCCCUACGGGUUGUAAACUGCUUUUCCGGGGGAAGAAUAAGGGCGACGUGUCGCCCGAUGCCGGUACCCCGGGAAUAAGGAUCGGCUAACUCCGUGCCAGCAGCCGCGGUAAUACGGAGGAUCCGAGCGUUAUCCGGAUUUACUGGGUUUAAAGGGUGCGUAGGCGGGCGCUUAAGUCAGCGGUGAAAUACGGGGGCUCAACCUUCGAACGGCCGUUGAUACUGGGCGCCUUGGAUUCGGUCGAGGCGGGCGGAAUGCGACAUGUAGCGGUGAAAUGCUUAGAUAUGUCGCAGAACGCCGAUUGCGAAGGCAGCUCGCCAGGCCGACAUUGACGCUGAGGCACGAAAGCGUGGGGAUCGAACAGGAUUAGAUACCCGAGUAGUCG
This 460-nucleotide ribosomal RNA is filed under the name uncultured bacterium. RNAcentral describes it as "bacterial SSU rRNA". It matches the Rfam family "Bacterial small subunit ribosomal RNA", at positions 339 to 796 of the family's 1533-position model. The record is from RNAcentral.